This 250-nucleotide ribosomal RNA is filed under the name uncultured bacterium. RNAcentral's name for it is "partial 16S ribosomal RNA". It matches the Rfam family "Bacterial small subunit ribosomal RNA", at positions 524 to 776 of the family's 1533-position model. The record is from RNAcentral.
UACGUAGGGGCUAGCGUUGUCCGGAAUCAUUGGGCGUAAAGCGCGUGUAAGCGGCCCGGUAAGUCCGCUGUGAAAGUCGGGGGCUCAACCCUCGGAUGCCGGUGGAUACUGUCGGGCUAGAGUGCGGAAGAGGCGAGUGGAAUUCCUGGUGUAGCGGUGAAAUGCGCAGAUAUCGAGGAACACCAAUUGCGAAGGCAGCUCGCUGGGACGUUACUGACGCUGAGACGCGAAAGCGUGGGGAGCAAACAGG